AUGUCUACAACACCAGAGAUAUGUCAAGUAGUGUGUUCAGCAGCUGCUGCAGCUCAAGCCGAUGAGCAUUACGAUCCAUCGAAGGAUCCUGCAAGGAAGCCACGUAGGAGCAAGGACCCAGCAUGGAAAUAUUCCUUUUGGCCUGAUCUGCAGGACAAAUUGACACUCCAGUGUGUUUUGUGUGGCAAAAACAUCACUUCUGGAGUGCUAAGGAUGAAGAAGCACCUUGGUGGGGGUUACACAGAGGUGAAAAUGUGUCUAAAAGCAACCGAUGAGAUCAGGAAAGAGAUGCAUUUGUACAUGAAGACCAACUCAACCAAGUUCAAAGCCAUGCAACUUGAUGGGGAUGAAGUUGAAGCAACUGAUGGAGAUGGAGGAGAGGAGGUAGAAGCAAGUUCAAGGGCGUCGAAUAGCACCGCAGCCUCCACGAAAAGGAAGGCUUCUUUUAUUGUGACGGCGCCGGUGGCGGCAAAGAGGACAAGCAAGUCAAUUGCAGAUGAGGUUAGGAAGACACCAGAGGAGGUGGUUGCUGAGAGGCAUAGAGCAGGAAGCAAGCAGUUAAAAAUCAAGCAUUAUGGAACAAAGACAAAAGAACAAAAAGAUGAAGUAGAUGGUCAUGUAGCUGACUUUCUCUAUGAGAAUUGCCUUCCACUCAAUAUUAUCAAUUCGAGAAGUUGGGAGAUCCUAUUGGAGUCUGUAGGAUAG
RNAcentral lists this ribosomal RNA (705 nucleotides) under Triticum aestivum (bread wheat). RNAcentral describes it as "partial small subunit ribosomal RNA". The record is from RNAcentral. Lineage: Eukaryota; Viridiplantae; Streptophyta; Magnoliopsida; Poales; Poaceae.